This 727-nucleotide ribosomal RNA is filed under the name Stenotrophomonas sp. 110602_136_C_D9. Its description in RNAcentral is "bacterial SSU rRNA". It matches the Rfam family "Bacterial small subunit ribosomal RNA", at positions 19 to 729 of the family's 1533-position model. The record is from RNAcentral. Lineage: Bacteria; Pseudomonadati; Pseudomonadota; Gammaproteobacteria; Lysobacterales; Lysobacteraceae.
AUGGCUCAGAGUGAACGCUGGCGGUAGGCCUAACACAUGCAAGUCGAACGGCAGCACAGUAAGAGCUUGCUCUUAUGGGUGGCGAGUGGCGGACGGGUGAGGAAUACAUCGGAAUCUACCUUUUCGUGGGGGAUAACGUAGGGAAACUUACGCUAAUACCGCAUACGACCUUCGGGUGAAAGCAGGGGACCUUCGGGCCUUGCGCGGAUAGAUGAGCCGAUGUCGGAUUAGCUAGUUGGCGGGGUAAAGGCCCACCAAGGCGACGAUCCGUAGCUGGUCUGAGAGGAUGAUCAGCCACACUGGAACUGAGACACGGUCCAGACUCCUACGGGAGGCAGCAGUGGGGAAUAUUGGACAAUGGGCGCAAGCCUGAUCCAGCCAUACCGCGUGGGUGAAGAAGGCCUUCGGGUUGUAAAGCCCUUUUGUUGGGAAAGAAAAGCAAUCGGCUAAUACCCGGUUGUUCUGACGGUACCCAAAGAAUAAGCACCGGCUAACUUCGUGCCAGCAGCCGCGGUAAUACGAAGGGUGCAAGCGUUACUCGGAAUUACUGGGCGUAAAGCGUGCGUAGGUGGUUGUUUAAGUCUGUUGUGAAAGCCCUGGGCUCAACCUGGGAAUUGCAGUGGAUACUGGGCGACUAGAGUGUGGUAGAGGGUAGUGGAAUUCCCGGUGUACGCAGUGAAAUGCGUAGAGAUCCGGGAGGAACCAUCCAUGGCGAAAGGCAGCUACC